Molecule: long non-coding RNA, 857 nt
Organism: Mastomys coucha (southern multimammate mouse)
Lineage: Eukaryota; Metazoa; Chordata; Mammalia; Rodentia; Muridae
Exons: 3
Source: RefSeq, a predicted model, not a curated record
UUUCUGUUGAUAAUGGCACACUUAAUGCGCCCUAGUGAAAACAUAAAAUGAAGGACCAGAAGAACCACACUGGGAUUCCAACCAUGACUCUUUCUUACUUCACAGAUGAAAGUGAUUGUGGAAGUGUUUAAAAACAUUGGAGCAUCUAGAAGCUUCUAGAAGAGCAACAUGGUAUUUGACUCAUCUUGGUAAAUAAAAUAAAUGUUACUUGUCUGGCAAAGAGCAAUGCUCUAGGAAUGGAAAAGGAUGGUAUCACCAGUCAAGUCUUAACUUUUCACGUCUUAUUCAUUCAAACUGCUUUUCAGGUACUAAAGCAUUUGCCUGAGCAAAGAAUUCUACAGAUCCCUUCAUCUUGUAGGAACAACCUAAAAAAUGACCAGGAAGGCAAAAAGAGCAUGCCUUAACAAAGUUUAUCUUCUAUUCUGAAUGGCUGCCAAUUAACCUCACUUAGAACUCCUUAGAACAUAAAGUGAUCUGCUGAGUUCAUCCAGAGGAUCUACAAAAGAAAACGAAGCCACUGGACACUUAUAGUUGAUGUCCAAGGUCCAAGGAAGGCAUGGGCUAUGCUUCAGUCAUACAGUUCAAGAAUUUGUUACAAAAUUGCAUAUUGAUUUGGAUACAAAGUGAAAAACUUGGAAAAAGAAGAUGAGUUUUAAAGCAAAAAGCCCUGGGAUAAUGUUUAUUAUAUUUUUUCUAUUUGAUUCUAGACAUUUUUAAAUGAUGCCCAAUAUUUAUGAAUUUCAGUUCAAUCUUACACAUUAUUUGUAUGUUCUGAAAGGAAAUGACUGGCCAUGAUUUGAGAGAUGUUGGAAAAUGGAAAAUAUUCUUCAAUACAAUAUAAAUUUAUUUAAUAAGAA